AUUGAACGCUGGCGGCAGGCUUAACACAUGCAAGUCGAGCGGAGAUGAGGUGCUUGCACCUUAUCUUAGCGGCGGACGGGUGAGUAAUGCUUAGGAAUCUGCCUAUUAGUGGGGGACAACAUCCCGAAAGGAAUGCUAAUACCGCAUACGUCCUACGGGAGAAAGCAGGGGAUCUUCGGACCUUGCGCUAAUAGAUGAGCCUAAGUCGGAUUAGCUAGUUGGGGGGGUAAAGGCCUACCAAGGCGACGAUCUGUAGCGGGUCUGAGAGGAUGAUCCGCCACACUGGGACUGAGACACGGCCCAGACUCCUACGGGAGGCAGCAGUGGGGAAUAUUGGACAAUGGGGGGAACCCUGAUCCAGCCAUGCCGCGUGUGUGAAGAAGGCCUUAUGGUUGUAAAGCACUUUAAGCGAGGAGGAGGCUACUGAGACUAAUACUCUUGGAUAGUGGACGUUACUCGCAGAAUAAGCACCGGCUAACUCUGUGCCAGCCGCCGCAGUAA
Molecule: ribosomal RNA, 501 nt
Filed under: uncultured bacterium
Lineage: Bacteria
Description: partial 16S ribosomal RNA
Rfam family: Bacterial small subunit ribosomal RNA
Source: RNAcentral